GGAAUGGCAAUCCACUCCAGUAUUCUUGCCUGGAGAAGUCCAUGGACAGAGGAGCCUGGAGGGCCACAGUCCAUGGGGUCACAAAGAGUCUGACAGGACUCAGUGACUAAUACUAUAUUUUCUGUUAUACUGUAAUCUUACUUGUACCUAGGAUACUGCCUGGGCCAAAUGAAUGAAUAAAUCCACACAUACAUUCACAAAAUGUUUCUGAAAGUCUCACUUAGGACCGCAGACUUACCCUGGACUAGAAUAAGUAUCAGCCUGAGUUUAUUUGCAUAGACCUAUUUAUAGCAUCUUGGUUACAAAUUAAUGGUAGUUGAAAAAGUAACAAAUGUGGAGACCUAGUGUUCAUUAAAGUUUAAAUUCAAGUAAAUAUAAGUCCAGUAAAUUUUCAUACGAAAUAAGAGGGCCUUUUAUUAUUCUUUGAGAAACUCAAACAUUGAACAGACUAAACAAGUCCCUUUGACGAUAAAAAUUCUUUUAAAUGUUUUAAAACUGCAAUUAUAACUCUAAUGCAUUUGCUUUUUUUUAAAAGUAAGCACUUCAAAUACCUGCUCACAGAAGGUUCAAUCCUAAUAAGCAAAACAUUCCCAAGUUAAUUAAUAACUUAUAAAUUUAGUAAGUUAAACAUAAAUAUAUCUCGAAUUCUCUCAAAGAAAAACUUCAGCAUUCUUAAAAUUAGUGAAAUUAUCAUACCUUUCCAUUAAAAAUCAUAUCUUACACUAAUAGCUUAUUUUAAAAUGGAAAGCAUAAGGCUACUAUGGUGGGCGGAAUAAUGGUCCCCCAGAGCCAAGGAACGAGAUCAAAGUCUACUGGAAAAGGCAAGGAUUAAACAUCCACCCCUGGAGCCUACAGACCUCCCUAGUGGCUCAGUUGGUAAAGCGUCUGCCUACAAUAUGGGAGACCUGAGUUCAAUCCUUGGGUCGGGAAGAUCUCCUGGAGAAGGAAAUGGCAACCCAGUCCAGUACUCUUGCCUGGAAAAUCCCAUGGACAGAGAAGCCUGCUGGGCUACAGUCCAUGGACUCGCAAAGAGUUGGACACAACUGAGCGACUUCACUUCCUGGAGCCUAUAGAAGGGAACCUCGCCCUGCUGACACCUUGACCUUGGCCCAGAGAGACCUGUGUCAGCCUUCUGGCCUUCUAAUGAAUUUGUGUUGUCUUAAGCCACUGAGUUUGUGGUAACUUGUUACAGCCACACAGGAAGCUAAGACAGAGAACCUAGCAGACACUCUAGCUCUGCCCCUUCAGAUAAAUUCCCACUCAUCCUUCUGCUCCAUGUCCCCCGUCCCCUGCUGAGUGGGGAAGCUGUCUGCCAUUAAAGGCACAGCCUAAGUCAGCACCCAGUCACUCUGGCCGCCCUGAUACAUGAACCUGCAAAGCUGGACCGGAUGGCUCCACCUGUUGGGUGCAGGUGUGAAGCUGCCUCCUUCCCACUCUACAUGGGCUUCAUUGAGGCUGAUGCCAAUCAUGCUUCUGCCCAAGAAGCAUCACAGAGACCCAGCAUUUCAACUUCUCUCCAAUAAGCCAUGUUUAUGAAACAACAGCGUCCUGGGCACUGGAGCAGCCCAUCAGAACUGUGAGCUCAGGGACUUCCCUGGUGGUCCAAUGGCUGAGACUCUGAGUUCCCAAUGCAGGGGCCCAGGUUCCAUCC
This is a long non-coding RNA of Bos taurus (domestic cattle), 1651 nucleotides long. The record is from Ensembl. NCBI's taxonomy places the organism in Eukaryota, Metazoa, Chordata, Mammalia, Artiodactyla, Bovidae.